GUUAUCAUUGCAUAUUAUUUCUUUUCCCAAAUAAGCUUCUAUUAAUUGGAGAUUCCUUAGGUUUGGCAACAUUCCCAAAAUAGGCAUCGGAUCUUCUUUCAGUACGGAGAACCUCAGAACCAUCAUUGUGAUGGAACUUAGAAACAGAUUAGGCAGUUUCUCUAUUCUCCCUUCUAACCACAAUUUCUGGAGCUUUUGACAAGAAUUAACAAAUUCAAGAGAUGGGAAUGAUUCAUCAUAAUUUUUACACACCAAUGUGAGAGUGCUAAGGUUUUUCAAGCUGCUAAUGUUGUUUAGGGAGUAAGAUCUCUUAAUAUAAGCCAUGCCUAAUUCUCUAACAUUGACUAAAUCAACAGGGUCAACGUAUUUCCAUUGAUCACAACCAACACCUUUAAGAACUUGAAGACUAGUAAGUUUGCUUAUAUGCACCAGAGGUUCU
Molecule: unclassified non-coding RNA, 439 nt
Filed under: Hevea brasiliensis (rubber tree)
Lineage: Eukaryota; Viridiplantae; Streptophyta; Magnoliopsida; Malpighiales; Euphorbiaceae
Source: RNAcentral